RNAcentral lists this long non-coding RNA (428 nucleotides) under Salvia miltiorrhiza (redroot sage). RNAcentral describes it as "long non-coding RNA (SMIL_LNC010692)". The record is from RNAcentral. Lineage: Eukaryota; Viridiplantae; Streptophyta; Magnoliopsida; Lamiales; Lamiaceae.
CAAGAACGAAGGCGCGACGGAGGCAGACGGAGCUGGAUGAAGGCGCGACUGGGGGAGCUUGAUGAAGGCGCGGCGGACUCAGGGAAGGCGCGGCAAAUUGGGAUUUGGGGGGAGGCGAAAUAGAUAGAGAAGUGUUAGGGCUGUUAGGAACGAAAAUCUUUUUCCUUUUUCUUUUGUUUAAUUUUUAUUAUUCAAUUUUGGUAUUUAGGUUUCUAAUAAUAUUUUCAGAUUUUAUUUAAGUGUUAUUUAAUAAAAAAAAUGUUAUGAGUUUUUUUUUUCUCAAAGUCUAUAUAUAGGAAUAAAUUCAGAUUUUAGGAUAAAUAAUUUAUAUGUUAUUUUUUAAUAUAAUAUAAUAUAAUUUUAAAAAAAUUAAUAAAAAAAAUUAAUAAAAAAAAUUAUACACAACAGUUUUUAGAUACGCUCAAAGA